Small nucleolar RNA from Pyrus x bretschneideri (Chinese white pear), 107 nucleotides. Lineage: Eukaryota; Viridiplantae; Streptophyta; Magnoliopsida; Rosales; Rosaceae. The record is from RefSeq and is a predicted model, not a curated record.
AGAUUAUGGUUGGGACACUUGAGAAGGAGGCUCUUAAAGUCUUUCCAAGCUUCAGAGAAUAAAUCGCCAUCCUUUUGUUGGAAGUAUUUGAUUUCCCUUUUGAGUUU